RNAcentral lists this ribosomal RNA (493 nucleotides) under uncultured bacterium. RNAcentral describes it as "partial 16S ribosomal RNA". It matches the Rfam family "Bacterial small subunit ribosomal RNA", at positions 28 to 507 of the family's 1533-position model. The record is from RNAcentral.
GACGAGCGCUGGCGGCGUGCUUAACACAUGCAAGUCGAACGGUGAAGGGACCGGUUUUUGCUGGUUCUGGAUGAGUGGCGAACGGGUGAGUAACACGUGAGUAACCUGCCCCCUUCUUCUGGAUAACCGCAUGAAAGUGUGGCUAAUACGGGAUAUUCUGCGCCUGCUGCAUGGUGGGUGUGGGAAAGAUAUUGUUUCGGUGGGGGAUGGGCUCGCGGCCUAUCAGCUUGUUGGUGGGGUGAUGGCCUACCAAGGCGGUGACGGGUAGCCGGCCUGAGAGGGUGGACGGUCACACUGGGACUGAGACACGGCCCAGACUCCUACGGGAGGCAGCAGUGGGGAAUAUUGCACAAUGGGCGCAAGCCUGAUGCAGCGACGCCGCGUGAGGGAUGGAGGCCUUCGGGUUGUAAACCUCUUUCGCCAGUGAAGCAGGCCUGUCCCUUUUGUGGGUGGGUUGACGGUAGCUGGAUAAGAAGCGCCGGCUAACUACGUG